Molecule: ribosomal RNA, 669 nt
Filed under: Limosilactobacillus fermentum
Lineage: Bacteria; Bacillati; Bacillota; Bacilli; Lactobacillales; Lactobacillaceae
Description: bacterial SSU rRNA
Rfam family: Bacterial small subunit ribosomal RNA
Source: RNAcentral
UAUACAUGCAAGUCGAACGCGUUGGCCCAAUUGAUUGAUGGUGCUUGCACCUGAUUGAUUUUGGUCGCCAACGAGUGGCGGACGGGUGAGUAACACGUAGGUAACCUGCCCAGAAGCGGGGGACAACAUUUGGAAACAGAUGCUAAUACCGCAUAACAACGUUGUUCGCAUGAACAACGCUUAAAAGAUGGCUUCUCGCUAUCACUUCUGGAUGGACCUGCGGUGCAUUAGCUUGUUGGUGGGGUAAUGGCCUACCAAGGCGAUGAUGCAUAGCCGAGUUGAGAGACUGAUCGGCCACAAUGGGACUGAGACACGGCCCAUACUCCUACGGGAGGCAGCAGUAGGGAAUCUUCCACAAUGGGCGCAAGCCUGAUGGAGCAACACCGCGUGAGUGAAGAAGGGUUUCGGCUCGUAAAGCUCUGUUGUUAAAGAAGAACACGUAUGAGAGUAACUGUUCAUACGUUGACGGUAUUUAACCAGAAAGUCACGGCUAACUACGUGCCAGCAGCCGCGGUAAUACGUAGGUGGCAAGCGUUAUCCGGAUUUAUUGGGCGUAAAGAGAGUGCAGGCGGUUUUCUAAGUCUGAUGUGAAAGCCUUCGGCUUAACCGGAGAAGUGCAUCGGAAACUGGAUAACUUGAGUGCAGAAGAGGGUAGUGGAACUCCAUUGG